Molecule: long non-coding RNA, 184 nt
Filed under: Ficedula albicollis (Collared flycatcher)
Lineage: Eukaryota; Metazoa; Chordata; Aves; Passeriformes; Muscicapidae
Description: lncRNA (ENSFALG00000025459.1)
Source: RNAcentral
GGACAGAUCCCUGCCGAGGGAUGGACCCGACCCGACCCGAGCUGUCCUGAGGGGCGGCCCCGGGAGGGGCAGCUCGGUCCGGUCCGGUCCGGUCCGGCGGUGCGGGCGCUGCGGGACGGAGCCGCGCUCUCGGCCGAGUUGUAGAAGGAACAUGAAGCCUGCCAUAGAGGCAGAAGGUCAGUAG